This 73-nucleotide transfer RNA is filed under the name Candidatus Iainarchaeum sp. Its description in RNAcentral is "tRNA-Val". It matches the Rfam family "tRNA". Rfam says of the family: Transfer RNA (tRNA) molecules are approximately 80 nucleotides in length. The record is from RNAcentral. Lineage: Archaea; Nanobdellati; Candidatus Iainarchaeota; Candidatus Iainarchaeia; Candidatus Iainarchaeales; Candidatus Iainarchaeaceae.
GGGCCUGUGGUCUAGUGGCUAGGAUGCCGCCUUCACAUGGCGGAGAUCGGCGGUUCAAUUCCGCCCAGGCCCA